UACGAAGGGGGCUAGCGGUGCUCGGAAUCGCUGGGCGUAAAGGGCGCGUAGGCGGCCAUUCAAGGCGGGGGGGAAAGCCCAGGGCUCAACCCUGGAAUUGCCUUCGAUACUGUUUGGCUAGAGACCGGAAGAGGUUAGUGGAACUGCGAGUGUAGAGGUGAAAUUCGUAGAUAUUCGCAAGAACACCAGUGGCGAAGGCGGCUAACUGGUCCGGUUCUGACGCUGAGGCGCGAAAGCGUGGGGAGCAAACAGG
This 253-nucleotide ribosomal RNA is filed under the name uncultured bacterium. RNAcentral's name for it is "partial 16S ribosomal RNA". It matches the Rfam family "Bacterial small subunit ribosomal RNA", at positions 524 to 776 of the family's 1533-position model. The record is from RNAcentral.